UACGGAUUCCAACAGCUACCUCAUAACUCCAAGUCACCUCCUACUCUGGAAAGAAUCAUCGCUCAGGUACGGACACUGCUAUGCUUGAAUCUACACAAGGUGCAUGGAGUAAUGUGACUAAUCUGACCCAGCGAGUAAUAAUUAUAAAUAAUUACUGAAAUCAUAAAACCUCAUAAAGGCACAAGGACAUACUAUAUUAAAGCAGUAAAAUUAGUUAAGUAGUGAAACAGUGAAGUAUCAAAUAACUCCCUUUUAAAACUGGUAAAAACAGAUAAUUCAAUAGAUGAAAUAUAGAUAAAAAUCCGCCCCUCGGGCUUAGUAUCAAUCUCUCAUAACACUAACAGCCCCUCUGGCUCAAUAUCAGUCACUCACCAUAAUAUCAGCCCCUUGGGCUCACUCUCAACUCAUUUGGGUACCUGCGCUCGCUGUAGUGGUGCAGACUCCGGAGAGGCCCCUUACGGCCCAAGCGCUACAUCAAACCAUCUCGUGGCAUGUCAAAUAACUCAUGCCUCGGCCUCAUAUCACUCAAUAUAUCCUCACAUAUGCCCCUCGGACUCACAUAGUCCAGAAAACCAUCACAAGCCCCUCGGGCAUCAAUAGAACAAUAGUGCUCAGCUCAGCCAUCAUUUUUAAAUAUCUUUUAAGUCUCAAAUUUGAGUAAAAGCAGCUGAGUUUGUAAAAUAGUGUAAUUCCAUGGGACUGAGUUCAGGUAAUAUAUUAAGAAUAGUGAGGAAACAGUGAUAAAAGUCCACGACGGGUUCAAUAGUCGGCAUUAAGCCCAAAUAUAGCAAUAAGCAAAGUGAUAGAGAAAACAAAUAAGUCUUAGUCAAAUAACAGGUAAAGAUAUCAAUCGGGACAGACCAAGUCACAAUCCCCAAUAGUAAACGACCCCGCACUCUUUAUUAAGUGUGUGUCUCACAUCAAUAUAGUGCUACGUUGUGCAAUACGGGGUUUCAAACCCUCAGGACAUCAUUUUUAAUUAUUACUCACCUCAAGCCGUCCGAAUGCUAGAUCGUUAUGCCCUUUCCUCUCAAAUCGGCCUCCUCGAGCGUCGAAUCUGUCCAUGUAAUGACCCAACCGGUAUUUUGAGCUCCGACACGUAAUUCAAUAGUCUGAGGUCAUGAGCAGCUUCAUUUAAGGUAUAUUGAUUUGUGUGUAUGGUCAGAAUAAAAUUUUAGAAAGUUUGGAGUCAAAUCUAAAUGAAAAUUCUCAUUUCAGAAGCUUAAAAUUGAAUAAAUGAACUAAGAUUAGAUUUUGAGUAAAGGACCUCGGUAUUGGAAUUUGAAAGUUCCAAGAUGUUAGUAUGAUGAAUACGGACUUGGGCGUAUGGCCGGAUCAGGUUUUGGAUAACUCGAGAGCGUUUUGGCGCCUAUUAUGGAAGAUAGCAUUUUAGAAGUAAUUGCAUCAGUUUGGCUUAUUCUCAUUUUGAAAGCUUAAAAUUGAAAAAACGAACUAGGAUUGAUAUUUUGAGUAAAUGACAUCGGAAUCGGGAUUUGAAGGUUCCAGCAUGUUCCUAUGAUAAUUUCGGACUUGGGCGUAUGCCCGUAUCGGGUUUUGGAUAACCCGGGAGCAUUUUGACGACUAUUGUGGAAGAUAACAUUUUAGAAGAAAUUGUAUCGGUUUGGCUUAAAAUGCAUUUCAAUGUUAUUAAUAUCCGUUCGGGAUUACGAGACUGGGAGUAGCUCCGUAUGGUGAUUCUGGAUUUGGGAACGCGAUCGGAAGUGAAUUUGGAGGUCCGUAAGUUAUUUUGGAACCGUUUGGCUAAAUAAAGAAAAUUGAAGGUUUUUGAGAAAAUUCGACCUGAAGUAGAAAUUUUGAAAUCGAGGUCGGAAUGUGAUCCUGAAAGUUGAGACAAGUCCGUAAUAUCGAAUGUGACUUGUGUGCAAAAUUUGAAGUCAUUCCUGAAUGAUUUUGGUAAGGUUUGAGGGUAUAUUUUAAGGAAGCUUAAGUUGGAAAAGUCAACCGGAUAUUAACUUAUAUGUUAGAGCGCUCAAAAUGUAAAUUUUAUGGUUUGGAUAGCUUCGUUAGGUGAUUUGUGACUUAGGACUGUGUCCGGAAUAUUUUUGUGAUGACCGGUGUAGAAUUAAGCUUGAAUCGGCAAAUUAGUAUUUUGGCGAAUUUCAGUUGAUAGGUAAGAUUUUGAUCCAAGGCUCAGAAUCGAAUUCCGAAAGUUGUUGCAGCUUCGUUACGUCAUUUUGGACUUGUCUGCAAAAAUUUGAGGUCAUUCGAACUAGUUUUGACAUGUUCCGGCAUUGGAUGUGGAAGUUAGAAAUUUCAAAGUUCAUAGGCUUGAAUCGAAUGCGAAUUCCGUGUUGUUAUAUUGUUUUGAGCGUUCCGAAGGUUGGAACAAGUUUGAAUGAUGUUAUAGAAUAUAUUGGCAUGUUUGGUUGAGGUCUCAGUGGCCUCGGGUGAGUUUUGGGUGGUUAAACGGAGUAUUUCAUCUUAACACAAUUGCAGAUUUUGCUUCAGCUGUGCAGCAGAUUUCUGGUGCGAGAAGUCCAAUUCGGAAGCUCAUAUCUUUCAAUCUAUAAGGAAUCCGAACAAGUGCAAAACACGAAAGUUAUAGUCCUUACAUUCUAGUUUUUAGAAAGUUAAACCAUUUGUCAUUUGGAUAUUGUAUCAAAAGGUUAUGAUGGAUCGAAAAUGGCUGCUGGAGCAAUUUCGACCGAAUUUAGUGAUGCACUUUAGAAGCUCAUAUCUCGGGAUAUAUAAAGAGUAUGAUGUACAACCUAUCAAAUUAAAGAUAUUUGAGUAUAGUUUCUAAAUCUUCAAACCGUUUGUCAUUUGAAUAUUUAUUCAAUACGCUAUAAGUGUUUAAAAAGAAGGUGUCUAACAAGGAAUAAUUUUAAUAGGAUGUACAACUUGUAUAGCACAAGUGCAAGGUACAACUCGACGAAGCACGAGCAGAUUCUUUUAAACACGAAUUUGGCUCAUUUCUUUCAUUUCUUUCAUUUUGUUUGGAUCAUUUUGGAGAGAAUUUCAAGGGGAAUUUCAUCAAGCAUCAAAGGUGAGUUGUUUCUACUUAUUUCCAAGUUAGGUUUGGAUUAUUUUAGAGUGAAUUUCAAGGGGAUUUAAUCAAGCAUCAAAAGUGAGUUAUUUCUACUUAUUUCCACGUUAAAUACAUGGAUUAGAACUGAAAACUCAAGUAAUUUAUGCACAAAAUGGUGGUUUAGGGCUUAAAACUUAAGAGAAUUAAAUAGAGAUUUGAGGCAUCAUUUGAACUCCAAUUUUGGUAAAUUUGAUAUGUAUGGACUCGUGACGAGAUGAGGAAUCCGGUAAUGUGAAUUUUGUUAUUUUUCGAGAAGUGGGCCCGGGGCUCGGGUUUUGCUAGUUUUGAGAUUGUUGCUAUUUCUCAACUAUUUUAAAUUGGGUAUUGUCCCAUUAGCAUAUUGUGAUGAAUUCGCUCUGUUUGUGGGUAUAUAUGACGCGCGUGGAGGUCGAUUUGAGGAGCAAAGGCGUCGCGAGCUAGAGGUUUCGUCUGUUCGAGGUGAGUAAUACUUGCAAAUAAUAUCUUGAGGGUUUGAAACCCCGGAUUUGCACAUCAUGGUGCAGUAUUGAGGUGACUUGCACGCCGGAUAUGAGCGUGGGGUAGAGAACCAUUGGAGAUUGUGACUUGGUUCGUCCCGGUUAUUGAUUUUAUUGCGUAUUUGACUGAAAUUACUUUUUAUAAUCAUAAUUUGGGCUGAUUGCCAUGUUUGGGGCCUUGUGCCAACUUGUAGAAUCCUUCGGGAUUGAUAUUACUGUUUUAGCAUAAUUUGCAUAUCAUACGGUCUCAGACCAAGGUUUUGAAUACUAUUUUCCAAACCCAGCCAUAUUUCUAAGCUUUGAAAUUUCAAAUGAUAUUUUAAGUGUUAUUUCGGGCUGAGGACUACUGAUUUAUAAAUGCCCAUGGGGCUCAUGAUGGUUUUUGCACCGUGCAUGGAUCGGGCUUCGCGCUGCAGCAGUAUUAUACUGAGAUGAGCAUGGAUCGAGCUGCGCACCGCAAUAGUGUAUAUAUAUUGGAUCGUACUCCACACUGUAGUAGCAUUGUGCUUGGGCUGUAGAAGCACCUCCGGAGUCUGUACAUACACACUAUUGAGCGCCGUCAAUAAUGAAUAAAUGGAGUGGGCUGCACGCCGCAACGAGUACUAGAGUGUACUGUCAUAUGCAUUGCAUUGCACUCAUGCAUUUGUUCUUAUUUCGUAAUGUUAUCAUGACAUUCAGCACUCAUAUUAUUGGCAUCCAUGCUACUUCUUGCACUGUUUACCAGAUACUCUUGUGUUAUUUGUUAAUGGAGUGUUGUGCCCAAGAGGCUGAUGUUGUACUUUGUGAGUUGGGAGUGAGCCAGCGGGGCUGAUACUGUACUGAGAGGUUGAUAUUUAGCCUGAGGGGUGGAUUUCUGAUUAUUCCCUACUUAUUGAAAUUAUUUUUGCAACUGUUGAAAAGGAAUAUUUUCAAAAGAGGUUUUUACCGCGCCAAGAUGUUUUACAAAUGAUUUUCACGAUUUUACUGUUUCUUCCCAGAAAGGGUUGUAAUGUUCUAUAUAGCAUGAUGGAAUGCCUUACGUGAUUUCUUACUUUCAGCUAUUAUUUACUCUUAGUACCGCUGAGUUGGAAGUACUGACUUUACUCCCUGCACCUCGCGUGCAGUUGCAGGUAUUGUUCGUCCGGUAGCGGGUUCUUAGCGGAUUGAAGAACUGUUAUCGUAGCUGAGCUAGGUGACCGCUAGCGUCUGCGGCACCGGAUCUCCUCCCUUAUUUUAUGUUGUUCAUAAUAUUUUUCAGACCUUUUUCCUAGUACUGUACUUGUAAUACUUUAGUGGACUAUGUAGUAGCUCAUGAUAGGUGACACCCCGAUGUCGGGCCGUGUUGGGUUGUAUUCCACGAACUCUUGUUAUUUAAUUUACUUGAAACUGUUUAUUCAUGUAAUUUGUUGUUGAAAAAAGUUGUUUAAAUGGAUUGGAUGGCCUUGUCUUCAUGAGAGGCGCUAUCACGAUCGGGAUUUUGGUACAGACUCCGGAGGUAUCAGAGCCUAGGCUACUAGGUUUCACGCAUCAUGAGUAGGUUAAGUAAAGACUCGCGGAUCGGUACGAAGACGUCUGUAUUUAUCCUCGAGAGGCUGCAGAACCUUUAGGAAAACUUAAAUUUCUUGAAAUUAUUAUCGUGCGUACUUGAUUCAGCUUGAGAUAUUACCUCCUGAAAUUCCUUCCACACGUCAGUAUGCCAACGUGAGCGUUCAGUAUCAUAUGUGCCUUGAUGGCUUCUGAUUCCCCGAUCGAGGGGCGAGGUGUAAUAUCUGUGAGUUUGAUGUUAGGCCAGUCUAGAGGACUUGAGGCCGAAUCGUUGCUAAUAGCUUAAGCACAGAGGUGCUAAUUGUGCGAGCAAGUGUUUUGAACUUAUAUGUCUGGUAUUGUCCCUAUUAGUGAGAAUGAUGGUUCGAUAGCUAUGUGGGUAGUAUGUUAGUACUGCGAUAUGCAUCUAUAUGUCUUGGAAAGUGACGAGGAAUGUCUACUAUAUGAUAGAUGAACUACUGAGUGUAUGAUUUCCAUUGUGACGGGAUAUGUAUUCCAAGUUAUGGGCGCGUGAAGAUAUUUUCCUGGCUCUUGUUUGGAAUGAAGUAAAUAUCAUGUUACGGUUUGAGUCCAGACUCAAGAAAACUGGUUGACUGUGCAAUGUGCAUAAUGGUGUAAGGUAUACCGAAUUGUUAUAUUAAGAUUAAUGUAAUUGACAUUCAUUGUGAUGCUUUGUCAAGUUGUGGAUGUGUUGUUAGGAUGGUUUUGGUGAUUCUCUGGCCGGUGGAUGGGACCAAUUACAAAGGAGGCUCUGCCGAAAUUUUUGAAAAUUUUGGGACUUAGUAAAAACAUAUAUUUGGUCGCCUAAAGAGUGGGCUUAACUGUUGUAUAAGUAAAUGCAAGAAUUGCAGAAGAGUUAAAAUUCUAGAUGAUUCGUGUUUCCACGAACUUAUGAUGGAGUGAGUUUAAUCUCACCAUGAUAUUAUGACAACAAUAGAGUAUAUGUGUUGUGAUCUAUGGCUUCGAGCCAAGUUGGGGAGCUUGCUGUUUAUUAGCUGAUUGCAAGGUUUAUUACCUGCGUGAAUUCUGGUUAUGGGCGUAUUAGUGGGUUAUUGCAGCUACGAAAGAGGACCAUGAGUGGUAAUUUGAGUUAAUGAAUUGUUGGAUGCAUGCUAUGGUUAGCCUUAUUAGAUCAUGUUCAGACUUGAGGGAAGAUUCAUGAUUUAUGCCUCGUAUAGGUGCGCAGGCUUCGAGGGAAGUGAUUCCGUUGGGUGCUUUAUCGAGAUGGUAUUCACAUGUUAUAAAAUUCAGUAGAGUUGGUUGCAUUCGGGGCCAAGUCAGAGCUGGGUGGCUCUCAAUAACGGUCCUAGUUAAUUCAAGAGGUAAAGUGUGGUGCCUAAUGAUUUUGAGUCUGUAAGUACGAUUAAGAGUCAAGCUUUUGAAGCAGCUUAUGAAGAAAGGCACAUAAUGUUCUAUGAUGUUUUGACUUGCAGUGUAGCAUUUGAGAGACAUGAAAUGGUCAUGGUAUUUGAGACAGUAUGGUCUCGUGAUUUAAGGUCACUCGGGGUGAGUGCGAUUGAAAUAAGUUAGAUGUUAAGGGAGAUAUUAUUAUCUCUAAGGCAAUCAAGGAUAAAUUGGAAGGAAGUAGAUUGAUUAGCCAUAUUUGAGUUUGCAUAUUGGGGUCAAUGAUCAGUUCGUUCAGCGUGAUUGAGUUAUGCAUGUGAUUGUGGCGGAGCAUGUGAGGCUUGCCGGCGGUAGUGAUUGAUGUUAUUCUGAAGCAUUCUUUCGUUAGGUAUAUUAUGAGUAGGUGGAUCCCAGAAAGUGUUAUGGUGGCUUGGACAACUACUUAGAGAUUGGCAUGUUCGACUAUUAUGAGAAUUCGCCUGUAUGCUGCAAUAUUCCCCUGAAGUGAGUUAAAUGGAAAGUCUUAUGUGAUGAAGUAUUAGCCUAUCAGCGGUUCCAGAGUUAUGAUGGAAAUAGCGUCUAUCCUAUAUUGGCACGUGAGGUGCAGUGAGUGGUAUAGAAAUUGAAGUAAGGACCAAGGUUACAGUUUGGUCAAUGACUGUGAUGUCACGAUCCCAGAUGAGCAGGAUAUGAGUUUCAGUAUUUUGAGUAAGAUGGGUAUUGACGUUAGUAUCACCUAAGAUCGGUGUUCUGUGAGAAGGGCUUUGCAUCCUGGUUAGGGAUUCUUGAUCGCUUUUUAGCGUUAGUGCAGCCGGUAAUUUGAAUAUGCAGACCCGUUAAUUAUUUCGGAAGAUGGUGGGAGCUUGUCCUACAGGAAUAGUAUAUAAGUGUGACAUGUAGUCACUUGAUUAAUUAGAAAUUUAAACCAAGUAUGAGGAUUUUGGNNNNNNNNNNNNNNNNNNNNNNNNNNNNNNNNNNNNNNNNNNNNNNNNNNNNNNNNNNNNNNNNNNNNNNNNNNNNNNNNNNNNNNNNNNNNNNNNNNNNNNNNNNNNNNNNNNNNNNNNGGGUUAUGGACCUGUGAAAUAUUAUUGGCCUAGCUUGGCACGAUCAGGAUCGACUUGAGGUUGGUGGAUAGAUUUAAAUGUGGAAGUGAGCCUUACGUUAGGCCAGUUGUGUUUUUUCAGCAACGCGCUCUUUAUGAAAGGAUAGUCACGGUCUUAUUUCAUGGUCAGCUAAUUUAUGUAAAGAUAUAUUGUACCGUAUGAGUUGUGAGAUGGCUUGGUAAAUUCCUUAUGUGUUGAGGUUCCGCUCAGCGGUGAUAUUAUAUGAGCAGGAUGGNNNNNNNNNNNNNNNNNNNNNNNNNNNNNNNNNNNNNNNNNNNNNNNNNNNNNNNNNNUAUAUAUUCAUAUUAUAUGAGCAGGAUGGCUCUUGAGACUAAGAUCAUGUAUCACACCUCAGUUGUGCUUGAGUUUGUAGCUUAUAAAGCUAUAUGUUUCCUUGGGAAUGGCAUUAUGCACCUUAGUGUGGUUAUGAUCGAUUCGGUGUUUUGAUGUGAUGAGCUUUUCAGCUCGAUGUAUAUCUCCUUAUGUGAGUUAUAUUUGUUGAUCAGGUGACACGCCGCCAUGGGUAAGUUGUUUGGAUCAUGUUUCGUGCUGCAACAGUAUGAUGUUCAAUACAUUCCCCCAUAUUUGCUUUUAUAUGUUUUGUAUCUCAUUUGUCCCAUAAUUCUAGUUCUUGCUGUGAACCCGCGUCGCAUGUAUGAGUCGCGAGCGGGGUAAUUAGAUCUCCUUUUCAGAGUUAGGCUUCCUUUUUGUAUCACAUUCCGAAUGGUAGCCUAUUGUCACGUUGUGGCAUCAUACAGGAUGUUUGAUUAGGUCCGAGGUGGCUUAUUGCCUGAACGGUUCGUACUAGGUGAAACCCGAUUAUUGAAUUUAGGACCAAUGCUGUCACACCUCCUUUUUCACUACACCCGCAAGGGCGUAAAGGAGUUUUUCCAAUAAAAGGACAAUUAGAACGAGAUUUGUUUAUUAUUUAUUCAGAGUCGCCACUUAGGAGAUUAAUGGUGUCCCAAAUCACCGAUUGAAUCCCGAACCGAUGAAAAAGAUGACUCUUUUCAUAGUCCGCGAAUCAGAAAUCCGAAUAAGGAAUUCUGUUAACCCGGGAGAAGGUCUUAGGCAUUCCCGGGUUCCGUGGUUCUAGCACGGUCGCUCAACUAUCAUAUUCGGCUUAUUUAUAUGAUUUUUACAAUUGUGCACUUAUAAGCAAAUUAAAACUCUUUUACCACUUUUAUUAUUAUCUUUAUCUGAUUUUAAUACAUGCUAUCCUAUGUGCUUUUUAUUUGUAAACCGCUUUUAUCAUUGUUUAUUUUGAAAGAAUUGCGACGUCGUGAAAACGCGUCUCUGACCACGUCGCCAUGAGGCACCUUUGGUCGUCAACACGUUUCAAAUUCGUCAAGAUUUGGAUUUGGGUCGCAUCAAUGCGCACCCGAGUUUAAGAAAGUAAUUUAAUUAAAUCGCACUUAAAGGUUCUAGCGUAAUAUUAUUUUGGGAAAGGCCGUUGAAAUUUGCUAAAUGGCCCUUCGAAAUUCUAAUUAUUUUUAAUAACUAAUUAUUGAGGGCCACAUAUUUAUUCUAGUUCGUGAGGCUCGCCUCCAUUUUUGAACCAUUUUCGACCAUUAUUUGUUUUAUAAGAAUUAUGACGUCAUGGAAAUGCUUUUCUAACCACGUCGCCAUCAAGGCACCCGCGGUUAUCAACACAUUUCGACUUCGUACAGAUUUGAAUUUGGGUUGCAUCAAUGCAUACCCGAGUUUAGGAAGUUACUUUAAUUAAAACCCGUCUAAAGAUUCUAUCGCAACAUUAUUUUGGGGAAGGCCGCGAAAUUCGCUAAACGGUCUUCCUAUAUUCUAAUCAAUUCUUAUAAUUGUUUAUCGAGGGCCCCGCAUUUAUUUUUAUUUGGCGAAGCUCAUCUCAAAUUAUCCUAAAGGGUUUAGUCAACUAAAACAAACUAUGGAUAUUCAUAUUCAUAGGCCAAAUUAUUGAAUUCUUUCACUAGUAAGCUAGUUCAUCAAUUAAGCAAAACGAUCACUGUUAUUACGCAUAUGACCGGAACAGCUCACUUAUAUGAUUCAAUGGCAUUUCGUAAUGAAUUAAACCAUACAUGACUACAUGAAAGGCUAACAAUAAGGAAAACACAAACUAAAUAAAUAAAAUAAAAAUGAGGAUAACAUUAACGGAAAGGAAUCCAAAAGGGAUAUCACGGUUUUUAAAUUAAUAAGAAACAAGUAAAUUUGCACAUAUGCAUAUAACUUACAACAUUGUCGUCAUCGUUACACUUGCAGUGCCGUAGUAUUUCUCAAAGAUUUCAGUGACGCAUUUCAUCAAGCACCUUCCACUCACUUUUAAGCCAAACUCAAACACUCUAUUAUAUAUUCGUAAUGAUAGUUCUGCUUCAUGCCUUUGUGGCAAAAUAAAACACGAUUUCAAUUUCAACAACACUCAAAUACUUCCACAAGUUAAUUAUUAGCUGAACCAAGUAAUCAAACUCACAUAGCACAACAAAAGGAAUUUAAUCCACUUCUCACAUAUUACAUAAAUCAAAAUCAUGUAUUCAUGUGCUCAAGAAUGUAUUUGAGAACACACUGAAGACCAAACCUUAAAUGCUAAGAAGAAAACCGAAUCAAAACAGACGUAAAUCGACGGAUCGGAGUAGUGAGCGGCAACCUCGAACGGAACAAUCAAUUUCGAACCCACACACAAACUCAAAUCACCUCCAUUUCAGGACGAAAAUCAAAGGACAAUACUUCUGUUUUUGAGGCGAAAGUCGAAAAAAAUAAAAGAAGAAAAUCAGAAUAUGUUUUCAUUUUUGUAUAAGAGACGGAAUCGCGACUGUUCUCUUCUAAUCUCUGUUUGUUUUGUUUUUCUUUUUGUCAAGGGAGAUGAUGACGAAUCAGAACAGAUGGGGUUCUAUGGUGAAGGUGUUACUAGUUUUGGGGUCUUUUGUUGUGGGGUGUGAUGAAGGAGACGAGCGGCUAGGAGGGGGGGGGUCUGUAUUUGUCAAAAGCUCCGCUCAUCCUUUUUUUUUUGUGUUGUUAGAAAUGGUUAUAUAGAGUUUGUGGAAUGAGGUGUUAUAUGCGGGAGUUUUAUUUGUGGAGAAGGUUGUCAGGUAAUAUUUUUAGGGGAAGGUUUUAGGUGGGGUAAUAUUUUGGGGCGAAGGUCUUAGGUGGGGAGAAAUGAUUUUGGGGAAAACAUUUUGGGGAAGGUUCUUCCCAUUUAUUUUAUUCCCAAUUUCUUUUAUCUUCCUCUCUUUUUUGUAUUUUAUUUAUUUAUUUUGUAUUUUAUUUUCUGAUU
This 10740-nucleotide long non-coding RNA is filed under the name Nicotiana benthamiana. RNAcentral's name for it is "long non-coding RNA (NBEN_LNC012302)". Lineage: Eukaryota; Viridiplantae; Streptophyta; Magnoliopsida; Solanales; Solanaceae. The record is from RNAcentral.